RNAcentral lists this small RNA (208 nucleotides) under Peromyscus maniculatus bairdii (prairie deer mouse). RNAcentral's name for it is "7SK RNA (ENSPEMG00000006574.2)". The stretch from base 1 to 177 matches the Rfam family "7SK RNA", at positions 130 to 331 of the family's 331-position model. Rfam says of the family: 7SK was discovered as an abundant small nuclear RNA in the mid-70s but a possible function has only recently been suggested. Two independent studies have found that 7SK RNA binds the CDK9/cyclin T complex (known as elongation factor P-TEFb). The record is from RNAcentral. Lineage: Eukaryota; Metazoa; Chordata; Mammalia; Rodentia; Cricetidae.
GCGUGCGCCACGUCCGCACGACCUUCCCCGAAUAGAGGAGGGCCGGUCUUCAGUCAAGGGUAUACCAGUAGCUGCGCUCCCCUGCUAGAACCUCCAAACAAAAGUUUUGUAACUUUCCGAGAAGUAGUGACUGGCAUCCGUGUGUGCUUGGAAGUUAGUCAUUGGUAACCACGACACGUCUUUUCUCUGUAUCACAAACUGUGACAAA